AGUAAAAGUCGUAACAAGGUUUCCGUAGGUGAACCUGCGGAAGGAUCAUUAGUGAUUUAAAAAGUUUUUUCUUUUAUAUAAAUAAAAGAUUAACUUUUAUCUUCUAUACUAUUAAACCACUGUUUAAAAAUGUUAUAAGAAUGUUAUGUAAUUUAUAAAAUUACAGAAAGCUUUAUAUUAUAUUAAAACUUUCAGCAACGGAUCUCUUGGUUCAGGCAUCGAUGAAGAACGCAGCGAAAUGCGAUAAGUAAUGUGAAUUGCAGAUACAGUGAAUCAUCGAAUCUUUGAACGCAAAUGGCGCUCUAUGGUAUUCCGUAGAGCACGUCUGUUUGAGCGUCGCGAACAUCUCCAAAAUCAACUUUUUUUUUGUUGGUAGAGGGUUAUGAGGUUGUCUAUGCUCUGUCAUAGACUUCCUUCAAAUUGAUUAGUAAGGCUCUAUUAAAGGGUUAAUACUUGAUGUUAUAGUGGAUCUUAUCCAUCAUCAGUCAGAGGUUUUUUUUCAAAAACCUCGCCUAUUAAUAGUAGCUUGAUUGCUUCUAAAUGUCAGUAAAAUGACAACCUAUAAAUGAUCAAAUCGACCUCAAAUCAGAUGGGAUUACCCGCUGAACUUAAGCAUAUCAAUAAGCGGAGGAAAAGAAACUAACAAGGAUUCCCCUAGUAAUGGCGAAUGAAACGGGAAAA
Molecule: ribosomal RNA, 681 nt
Filed under: uncultured fungus
Lineage: Eukaryota; Fungi
Description: eukaryotic LSU rRNA
Rfam family: 5.8S ribosomal RNA (bases 187-339)
Source: RNAcentral